CAUGCCUUUGGACAUGCUGUUCCUUCUGCCUGGAAUUUCCUUGUCCGCCUGGUGAACUCCUCGUUCUGCAAGACUCCGCUCAAAACAGCACCUUCGAGAAGACUGCCCUGCCCCUUCCCUGCCCUGCCCCAUGUCCCCCUCCCUUGGGUCCCCAGAGCCACGCACAUCCAGCCCUGCUUCCCACACACGGGGCCGUGCGUGCCUUUCUUCACCACUGAGCUCCUUCAAGGGCAGGGACUGUCUUUAUCUUUGCAUCCCCCGCUGCACCCUGUGCCUGCCCACUGGGCACUCGGUGGAUGGUGUGCGGGCGGAUGGGUGAGUGAGCGGACAAAGGUCCCGCAGCCCCCGGAAGCCAAUAGACUCCCUUAGGGACUCUCGGUCCCUCAGCUACUCGCCUGUGGAGCGUCGCCGUCCCUCGCCUCAGCCCUCGCCACGGGACCAGCAGAGCAGCAGCAGUGAGCGGGGUUCCCGGAGAGGCCAGCGUGGGGACAGCCGCUCCCCCAGCCACAAGCGCAGGAGGGAGACACCUAGCCCUCGGCCCAUGAGACACCGCUCCUCCAGGUCUCCAUAAAUUGUCUUUGGGGGAUUCCACCACACCCAAUGCUUUGGAGCCACAGGAGUGUCCCUUCUUCCCCAG
Molecule: small RNA, 637 nt
Filed under: Pongo abelii (Sumatran orangutan)
Lineage: Eukaryota; Metazoa; Chordata; Mammalia; Primates; Hominidae
Description: processed transcript
Source: RNAcentral